Tupaia belangeri chinensis (Chinese tree shrew) is the source of this 1408-nucleotide long non-coding RNA. RefSeq lists it as uncharacterized. The transcript is spliced from 3 exons. The record is from RefSeq and is a predicted model, not a curated record. NCBI's taxonomy places the organism in Eukaryota, Metazoa, Chordata, Mammalia, Scandentia, Tupaiidae.
GGGCUCAUGCUCGAAUGAGUAAGAGUGAGUGUGUGUGUGUGUGUGUGUGUAAGGGCUGGUGGCUAUCAUGCAGGGAAACCUCAUGCUGAACUUCUAUCCAGCUUGGAUUAUCUUCUCUGUAAACUGGUUCUUUUUCUUUAUUAAAUUCCAUUUGUCUUCUGACAAAUGAAGGUAACCAGGGUGGACCAUCAGCAGACCCAGCCCUGAGAUGAAAACUCUGACGUCUCCCAUGUUAGCCAGUGAGGGGCUACACUGUUCAGCUUCUUGUGCCCUUGCCCCACCCCUCUGGCCACUUCCCGGGGCCUCCCCACCUCCCGGUGACCCGGGGACUAAGGAGGUAAUGCCUGGCACCACAGGGCUCUCCGGGACUCCAGGCCAUCAUCCUCCGUGAUACAUGAUUGACUGUCCUUCCCAGGGCCACGGUUGAGGACUGCGAGCCUACCACCCAGAGGCUGUCAUGCGCAGGAGUGGAGGCCCUGUCCCCUUUCGCCCUGACCCAGCCGGGGACUUCUUGUGCAGCUGGUGCUCGUUUUGUCCUCCGCGGAGGGGAAAGGCAAGGAGCACAGCCUGUAGUUCCAGCUCCAGAAGCUCCCAGUGCCCUCUGGCUUCCCCAUCCAGCAAUCUGAGAAGGCCACGCUGUCUGGUGCCUUGGUUUCCUCCUUUUAACAACACGGCCGCGACAGUAUCAAGCAAUGUCUUGUUCAGGACGCCACACAGGCUUCCCAGGAGACCCGACAGAGGAAGAGGCGACGGUGCCCUGGAGGGGCACAGAACGAAGAGGAAAAUAAGAUUCGACUCUCAUGGGCUCCAGCCCUUCCACAGAGGGGAGAGCCAUGAGGAAGGGCCACUUCAGAGUCAGAGAGUUGAGGCCGUGGCCCCACCAUGGUGACAGGAGUGAGCUCCUCUCCUGCUGCUCACCGCGGAGGAUCCAAAGGAGCCUGGAGACAAGGACCACCCAUGGCACCAGCCAGAAAGGGGUGUACUUAGGAAUCAUGGCUAUCUCCUCCCUGUGGAUAGAGACGAUCUUGGUGGGCUCCUCUGACACCCCAGAAAGGAAAAGUGAGACCCAGAAAAGGACUUGGAGAACUUAUGAAGAAAACUGCUAUACGGUGGCCAAGAAUGGACAGCCUGUGGGUUAUCCCCAUGGAGAAGCACGAGCACCGUGGUCUCAGGAGUCUCCAUGCCGACAGGACUGAGGCACACUGUACCUUGCCAGGUCUGUGUCCCCAACUGCACGAGCUGCAAUCCCGGAGUUGUAGGGAGAAUUAAAAGCCUCACUGCCCCCUCUGUGUUGGCCUCAAAUGCCUAGUUAAAUCACUAGGAAAAUUUGGGGUACAUAGCUGCUCAGUAAGUGGCUGAUAUUAUCAUCGUUAUUAACAUAAGGCAGUAAAAUGAAAAGCACCAUCUC